RNAcentral lists this ribosomal RNA (248 nucleotides) under uncultured bacterium. Its description in RNAcentral is "partial 16S ribosomal RNA". It matches the Rfam family "Bacterial small subunit ribosomal RNA", at positions 524 to 771 of the family's 1533-position model. The record is from RNAcentral.
UACAGAGGGUGCGAGCGUUGUCCGGAAUCACUGGGCGUAAAGGGCGCGUAGGUGGCGCUGCAAGUCGGUGGUGAAAGCUCGACGCUCAACGUCGAGUCGGCCAUCGAAACUGCAGGGCUCGAGCACUGUAGGGGCAGAUGGAAUUCCGAGUGUAGCGGUGGAAUGCGUAGAGAUCAGGAAGAACACCGGUGGCGAAAGCGCUCUGCUAGGCCGCAACUGACACUGAGGGACGAAAGCUAGGGGAGCGA